ACGCUGGCGGCAGGCCUAACACAUGCAAGUCGAGCGGAUGAAGAGAGCUUGCUCUCUGAUUCAGCGGCGGACGGGUGAGUAAUGCCUAGGAAUCUGCCUGGUAGUGGGGGACAACGUCUCGAAAGGGACGCUAAUACCGCAUACGUCCUACGGGAGAAAGCAGGAGACCUUCGGGCCUUGCGCUAUCAGAUGAGCCUAGGUCGGAUUAGCUAGUUGGUGAGGUAAUGGCUCACCAAGGCGACGAUCCGUAACUGGUCUGAGAGGAUGAUCAGUCACACUGGAACUGAGACACGGUCCAGACUCCUACGGGAGGCAGCAGUGGGGAAUAUUGGACAAUGGGCGAAAGCCUGAUCCAGCCAUGCCGCGUGUGUGAAGAAGGUCUUCGGAUUGUAAAGCACUUUAAGUUGGGAGGAAGGGCAGUAAGCGAAUACCUUGCUGUUUUGACGUUACCGACAGAAUAAGCACCGGCUAACUCUGUGCCAGCAGCCGCGGUAAUACAGAGGGUGCAAGCGUUAAUCGGAAUUACUGGGCGUAAAGCGCGCGUAGGUGGUUUGCUAAGUUGAAUGUGAAAUCCCCGGGCUCAACCUGGGAACUGCAUCCAAAACUGGCAAGCUAGAGUAGGGCAGAGGGUGGUGGAAUUUCCUGUGUAGCGGUGAAAUGCGUAGAUAUAGGAAGGAACACCAGUGGCGAAGGCGACCACCUGGGCUCAUACUGACACUGAGGUGCGAAAGCGUGGGGAGCAAAC
Molecule: ribosomal RNA, 745 nt
Filed under: uncultured bacterium
Lineage: Bacteria
Description: bacterial SSU rRNA
Rfam family: Bacterial small subunit ribosomal RNA
Source: RNAcentral